AGGAAAAGAAAGUACAAAUCUCACAUCUCAUAUCAAUCCCUGUCUCUGUACCUUCCUACUGAAAAUAUCAUAUCAUGAAAUCAGGACCGGACUUCCAUGGCCAGAAACAAAAAGAAAAAGGCCAAGAAAGAGAAGAAGAAGAAGAAGAAGGAGAAGAAGAAAGCGUAAUAAGGCCGUACUUAUCAACUCUUUCAAGCACUAAACAGUGGCAAUGGCGGAUUGCAGCUCAAGGCCGUACCACUAGCUGGUUCUUUGUAAGUACCCCUUGCUACCUGCUGCCGGACUUCCCAUCUACUUCAUUCCUUAGUGAUGCUAUCAAUAACUUAUCAAUUGCUUACGCCUCUCUAAAUUCAACAACUACACUUGUCGGGAAUUCUAGUAAUUAACCACACAAUUCUGAUAUAUCUAUUGCCGCGUGAUUGUGUUCCUGGACAGUAACGCCACAGUAAAACCCUAGAUUUAGCCAUUAUCCGAUACUCCUUCCAGCCUUGAUUUUGUUCCAACUGGCAGGCAAAACGAGAAUUCAACAAUUUCAAGUCUAGCUAGACAGUAUUAUUGCAUUACUUCCGAGUCUGAUGAAACUCUUCACUGUACUACUACUGUCAGAGUUUGGCCCCGUCAGAUUCUUCAAUUAGGGGGUAUUGAUAUAGUACAUAGCUGGUAAACAUACAGAUAAUAAGCUUCUCAGCUAGGGAAAAAACCUACUAGGUGCGAUCUGCGAUCAUACACGCAGCCCAAGCUCUGUUUUGAAUAAUUUUUUGACAGCAUGAUAUGAACUUGCAUCUGUAUGGACGGUUAAGCUUGCAGCACUACUGUCUGUAAAUGCUGUUCUACCAAGCUUACAGCAGAUAUAUAGGCGGUCGACGUAUAUCUGAAAGCAUAUAUAUAACUGAACACAGCAUCACAAUAGAUAUAUACGCUGCUGCUGCAACACAUGAUAGAAAGUACAAGUUUGAGUGAGAAUGAUCAGAUUUACUAAUUUGUAGAAGCUAAAUACUAAUUAUUAGUCAGAUUGUGUCAUGUAUCUGCAUUGCAUACUGCACAGGUCAGGUUCCUUAUCCCUACACAAGUACAUCACACACAAAAAUUGCCUAUAUAUACAAUUAUAGUCAAGGAUAAGGGUACCAAGAGACGAGGUGUCAGUGAUGUCACUGGUAAGGUCCAGCAACUAAGAACUCCAUUCCAUCCUUUUUAUAUAUCCAUGGUAUAAUGAAGCUGUAGAGGAGUUAGCAAAAGGAGAAGGAAAUAUAUAUAUAUUUAGACUCCCUCAAACAAACCUUAUAUAGAACAUUAACAUGUGAAAAAGGAUAUAGCGAGAUUGAAAUGACAUGCUUGUGAAUCGUGCUAGAUAUUCUUGUCUGAUGAAGCUACAGCCGGACCCCAACACCUACACCGAAGCAUUGACUAAACCGUUGGCUACUCUAGACUGCAUGCUCGCGAUACCAACACCUGUAAGUUGUUAGUUUGUGUUACUUGGUACAUACUCAUGAGAAUGUUUUUCGGUAGCUGUUAAACGAUAGUUAGGAAGCUGCAGGCAGAACUUUUAGACGUAUUCCGUACGAUUCACUUUAUAAGCACAAUGUAAACAAACUACAGAGAGAGCUUCCUCACAAUUAGGUCGUCAGUACUGUAAGGUAGUUUAGUCACAAAGCUAUUUUUCAGUUUACAAAUCAUCCUUAAGCAUCAUGCUAAGUCAAUAGGCCAAAGAAAGAACAAGUGCAUCAAUUUCAUCAAAACAUGGAAUAAAAACUGCUGCUGGAGGACAUCUAAAGAAACACAACCAACCUUUUUGUUUGAUGAAUAAACAGAAAAAGGAAAAGGGCUGUAUAUAUAUAGCUGCAGCCUGCAGUUGCCGAAACUCCGAAGAUGGAAAACGGAACUCUACGACAUUAGACGUUGUUAAACAAAUACAUGAAAAACAGAAGCAGCAGUUCAAUUAAUAGAUAUGCAAGUACUGUUAGCCAAGUUGCCUGCUAAGAUGUUUCGAAAUCUGCAUGUUUGAUUAGAUACAAACUACAAAGACAUUCCUUCCUUUAUCAGCAGUUGUAUAGAGUAGAACUUCUCGAAUAGUUGGAUAUACCAAGCUAGACUCACCGAUAUGUCAAUUUCACACACACACAGACAAAUAUAUAUAUCUAUAUGAUACAGCCUUUGUAGUUUUCAACUGAAGGGGUUGGUUUAGGUAAAGUUUGGCGUCUAGAAUCAUGUUUUCUAAGAAACUUGAAUCGAGGUUAGUUGAAAAAAAUUGAGUCGAGUUAACGAGAGGUUGUGGGAACAAAGUUGGACAGAGAUGUAAAAGAUUCCAAGCAAAAUAUUUGUGUUUCCAAAACCAGUCAAGUGGAAUUUCCUAAAAAUCUUUCACAUCUCUUGAUUCAACUUUCCUUCCACAAACCCUCUCAACCUCAACUAAACUUCCUUUCAACUUUCUUACGAAACAUGCAUGAUUCUAGAUGCCAAACCUUACCUUAAGGGUAAGUGCCGAAUCGCAGCUCGACAUCGUCAUAUCUGUCCAUUUGUCUAUAACGUUGUGAGUAUAUAAGUGUGUUUUGCAACUCGACUCAAUAUGGAUUUAAGUUGAAAACAUUCUCGACACAUAAUCUCUAGUAUACGUACAUACAAUAUAAUGUAAUACCAAAAUAAAAAUUUGUAGUGAAAAAAGAAAAAUUACAAAAUCCAACUAAAGAAAAAAGGGGAAAUUAAUAACGCAUGGCUUCCUAAUUAACCAAAGAAAUUCAGUCAUGAGGAAACACCUACUCAAAAUGUUCAACCCAAGUUAUAAUUAUCUAUUUACACAACAAAACAUGUCUUAAAGAAUAAAAAACCUUAAUAAAUUAGGAAAUGGUAACAGAAACAAUGGUGGUUUAAUUUUUCAAUCACCACAAGAUUAACUAGACCGGUAAUUAGUAGCAAUAACCCAUCAAUCUCUACCUUUUUAACGAGGGGAGGACCAAGAUCACGAACCAUCGUAGACAAGUCGAUUUAGACGGGAGGCUGGAGGUGCAUGGUAGUAUAUAUAGAUCAAUUAUGCAGAAACAACUGAGCUAAGUGCUAUUAUAGGCAAUGGAGGUUAGCAAGGUAAGAAUUGCAGUGCAAACUUAACAAGUCUGUCUGACACUUGAUAUGCAGACAGACAUUGGAAACAUUGGGUUUUGGCUUAUGGCAUAAUUUUGCAUCGCUUUCGAAAUCCAGAAACCCGAUAUUGCUAGUUGAUGGGUCCUCUCACAGUAGGGUUUGUAUGUAAAGGUAAUGAAACACAGAUAACAGUGGAAGUACUGUAGAUGGUUAUAAGUAUGUAGAUAGAUCACAGUAAUUAGGAUUCGCAUGCGCAACAAGUAAAAAUAGAUCAUGCAAAUGCUAUCAUCUGCAAGCAACUUGGCAUUGGCUUCCCCCCCGGGGCGUAAGGACCAGACUAGAAAACCCACUAGCUUAGCUUAAUUAGCUUACGUGAAUGGUCCCAUGCCAUGUGGGGUAACAGUAAAAUUGCCGCUAAUGUGUACAGUAAUCUCUGUGCUGCUGCAUAUAUCAUCAAAAGCAACGCCUGCUGCUUAAUUAUAACUAAACAUAAACAAUAGUUUAUGUAAAUCUAAACAGUACCACAACCUCAAAAGAAAAUGAAAACCUUAAACCAAAGCAAAAACCCUCGGAGUCGUCAGUCAGUCCCCCACUAAAGCAACGAGUUGAGUUACCUGUUUCCCAGUAAGCACCACACUCGGUUUCCCUUUGCCAAACCAAACCCAAAACCCAACAGAAGUACUUGUGAAAGAGAGAGUUAAUAAUAACAAAUCUAAAACAAGAAGAAGAAGAAGAAGAAGAAGAAGAAGAAGAAGAAGAAGGAUGAGAAGCCGACAGAAAGAGAAGUGAGCACCUAAAAACAAUGGUAUAGAUUCAUAUAACAUAAUGGUCUCUAAGUGCUCACUCUCUUCUGUCAGUUUCUCCUUACUUUCACCCCUUACCCAGAAACAAAGAUCCCACCGGCCAGAUCUGAGCAACCAAAACAAAGGAAACAAGAGCUCAUCUUUCUGGCUUGCUUGCCUAGCCAGCUAGGGUUUAUAUAUGUAAUGACAAACUGAAAAAAAGAUAGAUAGACAUCCAAACGAAUCCAUGGAAGGUGAAGAGAAAGAAAGAAAGAAAAGUCUUCUUUCUGUGUGCUGUGAAAGCGAAGAAGCAAAUAGCAAUGCUUUGAGAGAAGAUGUAUAUAUCCGCGGCUACCAUAUCUAUCUAUCUAUCUGUCUACCUUAUCACGCCGUAGUUAUUAAGUAGUGCAAUUAUCUCUCCGCCCAUUACGCAAUUUUUAAUUAUUAUUAUUAUUAUUUUGAAUAAAGGGUGGAGGUUCUGAUUUCUGAUUUCUCUCUCCGUCAUGCAAAUCGCACAGGUGUCGAUACUUUUUAUCCCCAAAUGUCACACUUUUUCUUCUGCACCCAAAUAACAGCGACUAUUCCACUGUAACUACAUUUCUGACUACACAUUAUCAUACUGCUUUUUCUCAUGUUUUCUGCUUACAUGGAGACAUUUCUGGCGGUGAUUUAUAUUCCAUGUGGAAUCGGAAUUAAGUGAAAUUGUAGACUCGGUCAUUCCAUUGUGAUUUAUGAUUCCGUUUAUUUGAUCGACCUAAAAAUGAUUUGCACGGGUCAAUUGAACCGAACGUAAAUUUAAACGAAUGGAAACCGAUUUAGAGUAGGACAUAGGAGAACAAUUUGAUGGAUGAUCUUAUAGAUGAUGAAGAUUUAGAUGAAGUGACUAACCAUGUGGAAGGAGAAUAAUUUUAGUUAAAAUUUUCAAAUUUUAUCUCUUCCGAAAUUUUUAUUUUUU
RNAcentral lists this long non-coding RNA (4809 nucleotides) under Linum usitatissimum (flax). RNAcentral's name for it is "long non-coding RNA (LUSI_LNC004683)". The record is from RNAcentral. Lineage: Eukaryota; Viridiplantae; Streptophyta; Magnoliopsida; Malpighiales; Linaceae.